ACAGAGGUGCUAAGCGUUAGGCGGAAUCACUGGGCUUAAAGCGCGUGUAGGUGGACGGGUAAGUAUCUUGUGAAAUCCCACGGCUCAACCGUGGAACUGCUGGAUAUACUGCUUGUCUUGAGGCACUUAGGGGCAGCUGGAACAAAUGGUGGAGCGGUGAAAUGCGUAGAUAUCAUUUGGAACGCCAAAGGCGAAAGCAGGCUGCUGGGAGUGAUCUGACACUGAGACGCGAAAGCCAGGGGAGCAAACGGGA
This 253-nucleotide ribosomal RNA is filed under the name uncultured prokaryote. RNAcentral describes it as "partial 16S ribosomal RNA". It matches the Rfam family "Bacterial small subunit ribosomal RNA", at positions 525 to 777 of the family's 1533-position model. The record is from RNAcentral.